RNAcentral lists this ribosomal RNA (401 nucleotides) under Alternaria tenuissima. RNAcentral describes it as "eukaryotic LSU rRNA". It matches the Rfam family "Eukaryotic large subunit ribosomal RNA", at positions 1 to 391 of the family's 3401-position model. The record is from RNAcentral. Lineage: Eukaryota; Fungi; Ascomycota; Dothideomycetes; Pleosporales; Pleosporaceae.
CUUUUGACCUCGGAUCAGGUAGGGAUACCCGCUGAACUUAAGCAUAUCAAUAAGCGGAGGAAAAGAAACCAACAGGGAUUGCCCUAGUAACGGCGAGUGAAGCGGCAACAGCUCAAAUUUGAAAUCUGGCUCUUUUAGAGUCCGAGUUGUAAUUUGCAGAGGGCGCUUUGGCUUUGGCAGCGGUCCAAGUUCCUUUGGAACAGGACGUCACAGAGGGUGAGAUUCCCCGUACGUGGUCGCUGGCUAUUGCCGUGUAAAGCCCCUUUCGACGAGUCGAGUUGUUUGGGAAUGCAGCUCUAAAUGGGGAGGUACAUUUUCUUCUAAAGCUAAAUAUUGGCCAGAGACCGAUAGCGCACAAGUAAGUGAUCGAAAGAUGAAAAGCACUUUGGAAAGAGAGUCAA